Molecule: unclassified non-coding RNA, 294 nt
Organism: Aotus nancymaae (Ma's night monkey)
Lineage: Eukaryota; Metazoa; Chordata; Mammalia; Primates; Aotidae
Rfam family: Metazoan signal recognition particle RNA
About the family: The signal recognition particle (SRP) is a universally conserved ribonucleoprotein.
Source: Ensembl
GCCAGGCACAGUGGUGCAUGCCUGUAGUCCCAGUUACUCGGGAGGAUGAGGUGGGAGGAUUGCUUGAGCCCAGAAGUUCUGGGCUGUAGCGCACUAUACCAAUUGGGUGUCUGUGCUAAGUUUGGCAUUGAUAUAGUGACCUUCUGGAAGCAUCGAACCGCUGAGUUGCCUAAGGAGGGGUGAAUUGGCUUAGGUCAGAAACAGAGCAGGUGGAAACUGUUGAUCAGUAGUGCAAUUUCACCUGUGCAUAGCUGCUGCACUCCAGCCUGGGCAACAUAGCAAGACCCUAUCGCU